Molecule: ribosomal RNA, 253 nt
Filed under: uncultured bacterium
Lineage: Bacteria
Description: partial 16S ribosomal RNA
Rfam family: Bacterial small subunit ribosomal RNA
Source: RNAcentral
GACAGAGGGUGCAAACGUUGCUCGGAAUUACUGGGCGUAAAGCGCGUGUAGGCUGUUCGGAAAGUCGGGUGUGAAAGCCCUGGGCUCAACCUAGGAAGUGCACUCGAAACUCCCGAACUGGAGUCCCGGAGAGGAAGGUGGAAUUCUCGGUGUAGAGGUGAAAUUCGUAGAUAUCGAGAGGAACAUCGGUGGCGAAGGCGGCCUUCUGGACGGUGACUGACGCUGAGACGCGAAAGCGUGGGGAGCAAACAGG